Molecule: ribosomal RNA, 497 nt
Filed under: uncultured bacterium
Lineage: Bacteria
Description: partial 16S ribosomal RNA
Rfam family: Bacterial small subunit ribosomal RNA
Source: RNAcentral
GAUGAACGCUGGCGGCGUGCCUAAUACAUGCAAGUCGAGCGAACGGACGAGAAGCUUGCUUCUCUGAUGUUAGCGGCGGACGGGUGAGUAACACGUGGAUAACCUACCUAUAAGACUGGGAUAACUUCGGGAAACCGGAUCUAAUACCGGAUAAUAUUUUGAACCGCAUGGUUCAAACGUGAAAGACGGUCUUGCUGUCACUUAUAGAUGGAUCCGCGCUGCAUUAGCUAGUUGGUAAGGUAACGGCUUACCAAGGCAACGAUGCAUAGCCGACCUGAGAGGGUGAUCGGCCACACUGGAACUGAGACACGGUCCAGACUCCUACGGGAGGCAGCAGUAGGGAAUAUUCCGCAAUGGGCGAAAGCCUGACGGAGCAACGCCGCGUGAGUGAUGAAGGUCUUCGGAUCGUAAAACUCUGUUAUUAGGGAAGAACAUAUGUGUAAGUAACUGUGCACAUCUUGACGGUACCUAAUCAGAAAGCCACGGCUAACUACGUG